Long non-coding RNA from Dicentrarchus labrax (European seabass), 1304 nucleotides. RefSeq lists it as uncharacterized. Lineage: Eukaryota; Metazoa; Chordata; Actinopteri; Moronidae. The record is from RefSeq and is a predicted model, not a curated record. The transcript is spliced from 2 exons.
GAGUGGUGCCUGAAGCUCACAUACCAAAAAUCCUGUUUGUCCUGCUUGUAGCGCCCCCUACAGGAUAAAAAAACAUCAGCCCCGGCGCCACGUUUCACCGACAUGUACGAAACUCAAUAGGCAUGUAUAAUGUGCCGGGGCGUACAAAAAAGCCUCUUGGACCCAUACCUCAAAUCCCACAGGAAGUCGGCUAUUUUCAUUUAAAAUUUGCACUUUUGGCGGCCAUUUUGUGGUCAUUUUGACUCUUUGGGCUUGUUUUAGAACUAACUGCUCCUAGGGAAUUUAUCAGAUCUGCUUCAAAAUUGGUCAGUACAGUCAAAACAUGGUGCUGAAUGAACGCAUUAUAUUUUGUGACUGUACGUUGAAGGGCGUGUCCGUGGCGUGCCCUCAAAGUUGGCCAUUUAGAACAAAUGUCACUGUGAUGUCAUUUUUGCAUUUCAGGGCUUCUAUUUGAAUGAUCCCCUCCUACAGCUUCUAUCGGAUCUUCUUCAAAAUUGGGCAGUCCAGUCACAACAUGGGGCUGAAUGAACGCAUUAUAUUUGGUGACUGUACGUUGAAGGGCGUGUCCGUGGCGUGCCCUCAAAGUUGGCCAUUUAGAACAAAUGUCACACUGUGAUGUCAUUUUGGCCUUUCAGGGCUUCUAUUUGAAUGAUUUCCUCUGACACGUUCUAACGGAUCUUCUUCAAAAUUGGGCAGUACAGUCACAACAUGGUGCUGAAUGAACGCAUUUCAUUUUGUGACUGUACGUUGAAGGGCGUGUCCGUGGCGUGCCGUCAAAGUUGGCCAUUUUGAAGCCCGUGGUCCUGUAUUUGAACAAACAAACUCCUUGAGACUUUAUCAGAUCUGCUUCAAAACUUGACAGUACUCUUGAAUAAUCUUGCUGAUUACAAGUUGUGCUAUUUAUGACUGUACGUUGAAGGGCGUGUCCCAGGUGUCUCGUCAAAGUUGGACAUUUUGAAUUCUGUGGUCUUUUUUUCAAAGUGAUGAAACACAAACACCCCUCCGCUCCCACUAGCCACAUCUACAAACCAUAUUUCCUAGGGAGUAUUGUUCGUGGAGCAUAGUGUGAAACCGCUGGAAGUCACUUAUUAAAUUGCAAGAUAAAUAGGGGACUUAUCAAAUCGACUUCAAAAUUGGACAGUCUUAUAAAAACAAAGUGUACAUGAAGAAUUGAGCUAUUUGUGACUGUACGUCAAACUGCGUGCCACUGACCCCUUGUCGAAUUCAGAUGAUUUUCCAUUAAGCGGUACUCAUAACUUCAGUGUGCAAUGUCCAAUUUCCAAUAAACUUCAUAUAUUCUGUAA